Molecule: transfer RNA, 72 nt
Filed under: Ictidomys tridecemlineatus (thirteen-lined ground squirrel)
Lineage: Eukaryota; Metazoa; Chordata; Mammalia; Rodentia; Sciuridae
Description: Spermophilus tridecemlineatus (thirteen-lined ground squirrel) tRNA
Rfam family: tRNA
About the family: Transfer RNA (tRNA) molecules are approximately 80 nucleotides in length. Their secondary structure includes four short double-helical elements and three loops (D, anti-codon, and T loops).
Source: Rfam by way of RNAcentral
GGGGUUGUGGCUCAGUGGCAGAGUGCUUGCCUUGCACAUGUGAGGCACUGGGUUCAAUUCUCAGCACCACUU